ACAGACAUAGAUAUUAGUUUCUAGAGUAUGUCUGCAAAAUUUCAUGGACUUUGGUUGCUUAAUAUUCAAAUGAAAUUGGAACUACGAUUGUAUGAAACGAGUGAUACUUUAUUAAAUGGAUAUGAAUAAAGAUUAAGGACAAGAUAAGGUUCUCAACGAUUACCAAAACUACGAUUACUAUCUACUUAGGUACGCGACGAAAUUAUGACUAUAUUUUAGAUAAUUCUAUAUACAAUAUACAUAUAUACAACCUGAGAUUUACAAAAUUAUCUAACGUACUUAUAAAUAUUUACAACUAUCAUUUUCACUGCUUACAAUAGUCUUAGUUAAUGCAUAAAUACUUACAUUAUACUUAAUCAUUUUAUCUUAGCUACCUAAAUAUUUAGAAUUUGUUAAACUUGAGAUUUUUGUGAUUCUUGCAUUCCUAAUUUUACGUUAAUUCGAAA
Molecule: long non-coding RNA, 446 nt
Organism: Maniola jurtina (meadow brown)
Lineage: Eukaryota; Metazoa; Arthropoda; Insecta; Lepidoptera; Nymphalidae
Exons: 2
Source: RefSeq, a predicted model, not a curated record